This 253-nucleotide ribosomal RNA is filed under the name uncultured bacterium. Its description in RNAcentral is "partial 16S ribosomal RNA". It matches the Rfam family "Bacterial small subunit ribosomal RNA", at positions 524 to 776 of the family's 1533-position model. The record is from RNAcentral.
UACGUAGGUGGCGAGCGUUGUUCGGAAUUACUGGGCGUAAAGCGCGCGCAGGCGGUCCUUCAAGUCAGAGGUGAAAGCCCAGAGCUCAACUCUGGAAUUGCCUUUGAAACUGCAGGACUUGGGUACGGGAGAGGUGAGUGGAAUUCCGAGUGUAGAGGUGAAAUUCGUAGAUAUUCGGAAGAACACCAGUGGCGAAGGCGGCUCACUGGCCCGUUACCGACGCUCAGGCGCGACAGCGUGGGGAGCAAACAGG